AACCCAUGGUGAGGGCACCUUCUCAGUUAGUCAUUGUAUCUCUCCCAUGCAUCGUAAAGUGUUUCUAAAUCCAUCUGCACAAAAGAAGAGAUAUCAUUACGUAAUUU
Molecule: non-coding RNA, 107 nt
Organism: Gossypium hirsutum (cotton)
Lineage: Eukaryota; Viridiplantae; Streptophyta; Magnoliopsida; Malvales; Malvaceae
Source: Rfam